UACGUAGGGACCGAGCGUUGUCCGGAUUCAUUGGGCGUAAAGAGCUCGUAGGCGGCCACUCAAGUCGAAUGUGAAACCUCGAGGCUUAACCUCGAGCCUGCAUUCGAUACUGGGCGGCUAGAGUCUGGUAGGGGGAUCUGGAAUUCCUGGUGUAGCGGUGGAAUGCGCAGAUAUCAGGAGGAACACCGGUGGCAAAGGCGGGAUCCUGGGCCAGUACUGACGCUGAGGAGCGAAAGCGUGGGGAGCAAACAGG
RNAcentral lists this ribosomal RNA (253 nucleotides) under uncultured bacterium. RNAcentral describes it as "partial 16S ribosomal RNA". It matches the Rfam family "Bacterial small subunit ribosomal RNA", at positions 524 to 776 of the family's 1533-position model. The record is from RNAcentral.